Molecule: non-coding RNA, 74 nt
Organism: Phrynosoma platyrhinos (Desert horned lizard)
Lineage: Eukaryota; Metazoa; Chordata; Lepidosauria; Squamata; Phrynosomatidae
Source: the annotation of a GenBank genome assembly
AGCCAGCGUGGCACAGUGGCUUGUGUGUUAGACUAGGACUCAGAGAGACCAGGGUUAGAAUCCCCACUUAGCUA